This 579-nucleotide ribosomal RNA is filed under the name uncultured bacterium. RNAcentral describes it as "partial 16S ribosomal RNA". It matches the Rfam family "Bacterial small subunit ribosomal RNA", at positions 355 to 921 of the family's 1533-position model. The record is from RNAcentral.
UGGGGAAUAUUGCACAAUGGGCGCAAGCCUGAUGCAGCCAUGCCGCGUGUGUGAAGAAGGCCUUCGGGUUGUAAAGCACUUUCAGCGAGGAGGAAGGUGGUGAGCUUAAUACGCUCAUCAAUUGACGUUACUCGCAGAAGAAGCACCGGCUAACUCCGUGCCAGCAGCCGCGGUAAUACGGAGGGUGCAAGCGUUAAUCGGAAUUACUGGGCGUAAAGCGCACGCAGGCGGUUUGUUAAGUCAGAUGUGAAAUCCCCGGGCUCAACCUGGGAACUGCAUUUGAAACUGGCAAGCUAGAGUCUCGUAGAGGGGGGUAGAAUUCCAGGUGUAGCGGUGAAAUGCGUAGAGAUCUGGAGGAAUACCGGUGGCGAAGGCGGCCCCCUGGACGAAGACUGACGCUCAGGUGCGAAAGCGUGGGGCAGCAAACAGGAUUAGAUACCCCUGGUAGUCCAGCGCUGUAAACGAUGUCGAUUUUGGAGGUUGUGCCCCUUGAGGCGUGGCUUCCGGAGCUAACGCGUUAAAUCGACCGCCUGGGGAGUACGGCCGCAAGGUUAAAACUCAAAUGAAUUGACGGGGUCU